UUCUUGCUACAUAAUCCCCAAAUAUACAACUAAAAGAGAAUGUAACGAAUAGCAAGACGAAUCAGUGUUUCAUUUACAACUUUUCAAAGAUAUUUUAUAUUGGUUGUUACAGGAAACCAAAUUAUGAAAGAUAUUAGUGAUAUUGCGUAAUGAAUUGUCAAAAUUUGUAUGAAAAUUUAUUUACGGACACCAAAUAACUUUACGUAACUUUUUCGUUGUGUAAACAAUGUGCGAAAAUUUACCAGGUUAUGAAUGCAACCUUGCCAAAUAGUCAGCUGAUUUAUUUUAAUGUUUGAAGUGGAAAAGUAUGGAAGAGAAAACACAGCAAAAAGGAAAAAGGAAGCGAAGUAACCCAACGCAUCAUUGGACAGAGUCGCAGGUGCCAGACUUGCUGCAAGCAGCUGCCGAUGUGGUGAAAGAGUACCAGAGUCGUUCGAGCGGAUCCUUUGGGCGGUGUUAAAGAGCAAGAUGCGACACCUCAAAGCAUCUUACCUAUCCGCAGUGGCCUGGAAAUGUAACACUGGUGCAGGGCUGCUGGUGAAUGGGAUUGAGCACACAUUAAUAAGAUUAUUAAUAAUUGAAAUUGAAGCUAAAAAACAAGGUCAGUUAGAAAUUGAAAAACUAAAAUUAGCA
Long non-coding RNA from Bactrocera tryoni, 633 nucleotides. RefSeq lists it as uncharacterized. NCBI's taxonomy places the organism in Eukaryota, Metazoa, Arthropoda, Insecta, Diptera, Tephritidae. The transcript is spliced from 3 exons. The record is from RefSeq and is a predicted model, not a curated record.